This 253-nucleotide ribosomal RNA is filed under the name uncultured bacterium. RNAcentral describes it as "partial 16S ribosomal RNA". It matches the Rfam family "Bacterial small subunit ribosomal RNA", at positions 524 to 776 of the family's 1533-position model. The record is from RNAcentral.
UACGUAGGAGACGAGCGUUGUCCGGAGUUACUGGGCGUAAAGGGUGCGCAGGCGGCCUGGCGCGUCGCGAGCGAAAUCUCCUGGCUCAACUGGGAGGGUGGUCGCGAGACGGCUGGGCUUGAGGCUCGGUGAGGGGCGUGGAAUUCCGGGUGGAGCGGUGAAAUGCGUAGAGAUCCGGAGGAACACCGACGGCGUAGGCAGCGCCCUAGACGAGACCUGACGCUCAGGCACGAAAGCGCGGGGAGCGAACAGG